CUGGUGCUGCUUGGAGUCUCCACCACUGGGAGCAUAGCUCGCCUGGGCGCCGGGCGCUGAGCUGUGCGCUUUCUGUUCUUUAUUGCCUUGAAACGUCACACUGGCCUUAAGAAAUGGAUACUCUUACUACCUUUUGCAGGUCUUGCCGGGGAAUCUGGAAGGAAAACCGCCCCUCCAGCAAGAGAAGGACAUUUUGACCCAGUGCCUCUUCCCACUGGUUUUGCAGAUGAGCCCUCCCUCUUCCCACCUGUUCCUCUUGCACCAGUUUUAGAGAUGACUUCUGCUCUGCUGGGCGCCCUUGGUGACUAACACAGGAACCAAGGUGCUACCUCCUCCAGAAAGCCUUUCCAGAUUCUCCCUCCCUCUUCCUUCACCUGAGCCAGGUGGAGUUUGGGGAGCUGUGUGAUGAAAAGAAUAUAUAAAUGAAAUUGUAAAGACCUAGGUUUGAAUUCUGCCACCAUUUACUAUGCGUGUAACCUUGGCAAUCACUUAACCUCUCUGAGCCUCAACAUCUAUCUGUAAAUUAAUGGCAGCAAAUUAUUUAAGAGGAUGGUCGUGAGAGUUAAAUGAUAAAACAUAGCCA
RNAcentral lists this long non-coding RNA (583 nucleotides) under Zalophus californianus (California sea lion). RNAcentral's name for it is "lncRNA (ENSZCAG00015010066.1)". Lineage: Eukaryota; Metazoa; Chordata; Mammalia; Carnivora; Otariidae. The record is from RNAcentral.